GACGAACGCUGGCGGCGUGCUUAACACAUGCAAGUCGAACGGAAAGGCCCUGCUUUUUUGGGGUGCUCGAGUGGCGAAAGGGUGAGUAACACGUGAGUAACCUGCCCUUGACUUUGGGAUAACUUCAGGAAACUGGGGCUAAUACCGGAUAGUGGCUCCUGCUGCAUGGUGGGGGGUGGAAGGUUUCGGCGGUUGGGGAUGGACUCGCGGCGUAUCAGCUUGUUGGUGGGGUAGUGGCUUACCAAGGCUUUGACGGGGAGCCGGCCUGAGGGGGUGUCCGGCCACAUUGGGACUGAGAGCCGGCGCAGACUCCUACGGGAGGCAGAAGUGGGGAAUAUUGCACAAUGGGCGGAAGCCUGAUGCAGCAACGCCGCGUGCGGGAUGACGGCCUUCGGGUUGUAAACCGCUUUCGCCUGUGACGAAGCGUGAGUGACGGUAAUGGGUAAAGAAGCACCGGCUAACUACGUG
This 468-nucleotide ribosomal RNA is filed under the name uncultured bacterium. Its description in RNAcentral is "partial 16S ribosomal RNA". It matches the Rfam family "Bacterial small subunit ribosomal RNA", at positions 28 to 507 of the family's 1533-position model. The record is from RNAcentral.